Molecule: long non-coding RNA, 384 nt
Filed under: Lathyrus oleraceus (garden pea)
Lineage: Eukaryota; Viridiplantae; Streptophyta; Magnoliopsida; Fabales; Fabaceae
Description: Pisum sativum (pea) long non-coding RNA (PSAT_LNC014080)
Source: RNAcentral
UCCAGUUUUUUCUCUGAGUUCAUCCUCUUCAACCUUUCUGAAAAACGCUUCUUCUUCCUUAAACCCUAAUCCUUCAAAAUCUCCAAAGUCUACUACAAUGUCUUUUGACAAGCAACAAAAACAGUCAAAGAACAUCAAAGGUGUUGGAUCUUCAAAGAGUUCCAUUUCCCAGAACAUUCCAACCAGCACAACCAUCACUGUUGGGGACCGAGAAUACAUCACUGCUCCAAAACUCUUGAAAGAACAGAAAGCAAUCUUCGUGAACAUUCCAACCAGCACAACCAUCACUGUUGGGGACCGAGAAUACAUCACUGCUCCAAAACUCUUGAAAGAACAGAAAGCAAUCUUCGCUUCUCAGGUAAUGGUUCCUUCUCUUCUUUCUGG